Molecule: ribosomal RNA, 467 nt
Filed under: uncultured Desulfobulbus sp.
Lineage: Bacteria; Pseudomonadati; Thermodesulfobacteriota; Desulfobulbia; Desulfobulbales; Desulfobulbaceae
Description: bacterial SSU rRNA
Rfam family: Bacterial small subunit ribosomal RNA
Source: RNAcentral
CCCGCACAAGCGGUGGAGCAUGUGGUUAAUUCGAAGCAACGCGAAGAACCUUACCUGGUCUUGACAUCCCGGAGACCCUUAGGAAACUAGGGGGUGCUUCCAUCUGGAAGAAUCUGGAGACAGGUGCCGCAUGGCUGUCGUCAGCUCGUGUCGUGAGAUGUUGGGUUAAGUCCCGCAACGAGCGCAACCCUUGCCUUUAGUUGCCAGCAGUUCGGCUGGGCACUCUAAAGGGACUGCCGGUGUUAAACCGGAGGAAGGUGGGGAUGACGUCAAGUCCUCAUGGCCUUUAUGACCAGGGCUACACACGUACUACAAUGGCCGAUACAAAGGGCAGCGACACUGCGAGGUGAAGCCAAUCCCGUAAAAUCGGUCUCAGUCCGGAUUGGAGUCUGCAACUCGACUCCAUGAAGUUGGAAUCGCUAGUAAUCGUGGAUCAGCAUGCCACGGUGAAUACGUUCCCGGGCCUU